CGACUGGUUUCGACUGAACUCCACGGGUCUUCUUUGAUGGACUGGACAAAUAUGUCCCGAGCCUGCUCGAAAUGUACAGAGCGAAGUAGCACCAGUGCAGACCUGCGUACCCUGCUUCAGCCCCUUGACAUACGAACUUCAAAUCAGAAGAGAAGAGCAGUUGCUUUGCUUGGACUUCCAUACUACCUGAAGGAGGAUCCUUCCAGUUUCGUCUGAGUCUGCGAGCCUGGCAGUUCAGAAGAGGAGGUCACAAAAGGAGUGGAC
Dicentrarchus labrax (European seabass) is the source of this 264-nucleotide long non-coding RNA. RefSeq lists it as uncharacterized. The record is from RefSeq and is a predicted model, not a curated record. NCBI's taxonomy places the organism in Eukaryota, Metazoa, Chordata, Actinopteri, Moronidae. The transcript is spliced from 3 exons.